This 700-nucleotide ribosomal RNA is filed under the name Cystofilobasidium capitatum. Its description in RNAcentral is "eukaryotic LSU rRNA". The stretch from base 119 to 272 matches the Rfam family "5.8S ribosomal RNA". The record is from RNAcentral. Lineage: Eukaryota; Fungi; Basidiomycota; Tremellomycetes; Cystofilobasidiales; Cystofilobasidiaceae.
CUCUCUUUAUUCACACACCCCUGUGCACUUUGGCCACCUCUUUAUUGAGGUGUGUCUUUUUAAUUACCAUACCCUAUAAACACAAGUUAUUGAAUGUAAAAUCGUUAUAAACUAAUAUAACUUUCAACAACGGAUCUCUUGGUUCUCGCAUCGAUGAAGAACGCAGCGAAUUGCGAUAAGUAAUGUGAAUUGCAGAAUUCAGUGAAUCAUCGAAUCUUUGAACGCAUCUUGCGCUCUUUGGUAUUCCGAAGAGCAUGCCUGUUUGAGUGUCAUGAAACUCUCACCUCCAAUCUUUUUUAACUAGAAGGUUGGGGCGUGGACGUGAGUGCUGCUGGUGCCCUGGUUGCAUCGGCUCACUUGAAAUUCAUUAGCUGAAUCCUUUAAAGUAGGUUCUACUCGACGUGAUAAGAUCUCCGUCGAGGACAGUGCUUCGGCAUUGGCCAACGAUAAAGUUGAUACGCUUCUAAUUAGCGCAGACUUCGAGUGCUGGCAAUUUUGACAACUUGGCCUCAAAUCAGGUAGGACUACCCACUGAACUUAAGCAUAUCAAUAAGUGGAGGAAAAGAAACUAACAAGGAUUCCCCUAGUAACGGCGAGUGAAGCGGGAAGAGCUCAAAUUUAAAAUCUGGCAGUCUACGAUUGUCCGAAUUGUAAUCUCGAGAAGUGUUUUCCGCGUUGGCCUGUGCACAAGUCCCUUGGA